GAGGUCUGUUUGUGUUUUUCCACAGGGAGAACAGCAGCCGAUUUGGAUUCCAGAGAGAUUAACCAAAGCGAUUUCUACAGACCAAAAAGAAGAUGAUUUGACUCAAAUCCAUAACAGCUGAUAUCCAGAUCUCCAGCUUGGCUAUUCUUACAUCUGCAACAGAACCAGGAUGCUUUUUUCAAUAUCUAUUUUAUUAUUGCCUUUUCCCACAUCAUAAAGUUCUAUUUUAUUUUUGAGCUCAUACAGACCUAGGUUAAUGUUUUUCUGAUCAGUUUUAUUUUUUGACUGUGGAGUUUUUAAACAUUGCAAUGGAGAUUUCACCUGUGAAAAGCUACAAGGCCUUUACUAUUAUGUUAUGUGUUG
RNAcentral lists this long non-coding RNA (363 nucleotides) under Marmota monax (woodchuck). Lineage: Eukaryota; Metazoa; Chordata; Mammalia; Rodentia; Sciuridae. The record is from RNAcentral.